UGGGGUUUUAGCUCAGUGGUAGAACUCAUGCCUAGCAUGUAUGAGGCACUGGGUUCAAUUCCCAGCACCACAU
This 73-nucleotide transfer RNA is filed under the name Marmota monax (woodchuck). RNAcentral's name for it is "tRNA.Ala". It matches the Rfam family "tRNA". Rfam says of the family: Transfer RNA (tRNA) molecules are approximately 80 nucleotides in length. Their secondary structure includes four short double-helical elements and three loops (D, anti-codon, and T loops). Lineage: Eukaryota; Metazoa; Chordata; Mammalia; Rodentia; Sciuridae. The record is from RNAcentral.